UACGUAGGGCGCGAGCGUUGUCCGGAAUUAUUGGGCGUAAAGAGCUCGUAGGCGGUUUGUCGCGUCGGCUGUGAAAACCCGGAGCUCAACUCCGGGCCUGCAGUCGAUACGGGCGGACUAGAGUUCGGUAGGGGAGACUGGAAUUCCUGGUGUAGCGGUGAAAUGCGCAGAUAUCAGGAGGAACACCGGUGGCGAAGGCGAGUCUCUGGGCCGAAACUGACGCUGAGGAGCGAAAGCGUGGGGAGCAAACAGG
RNAcentral lists this ribosomal RNA (253 nucleotides) under uncultured bacterium. RNAcentral's name for it is "partial 16S ribosomal RNA". It matches the Rfam family "Bacterial small subunit ribosomal RNA", at positions 524 to 776 of the family's 1533-position model. The record is from RNAcentral.